Molecule: non-coding RNA, 73 nt
Organism: Dama dama (fallow deer)
Lineage: Eukaryota; Metazoa; Chordata; Mammalia; Artiodactyla; Cervidae
Source: the annotation of a RefSeq genome assembly
UCCCUGGUGGUCCAGUGGUGAAGACUCAGCACUUCCAAUGCGGGGGACACAGGUUCGAUCCCUGGCCAAGGAA